GAUAAGCUGAGACUCCUCAGGAUGUGGUUCUGCAGCAGAUGAGGUGCGAAGAAAGCCUGCUCUGCCGUGGGCACCCAGGAUGGCACUGAGUUCUAAAAGGCAAAGGGUAUGUGGUGAGGAGCCAGGCUGAGGCCCUGGUGUGGUACCAUCAUGGGCAGCAGCACCAUUUGAGGCCAGGUAGGAGAGACGUGCAGGGCCUGGCCCCCCAAGAGACCAGCAGACAAACUGAGGCGGCACAGAGAGAGAUUCCAGUGUCACCAGGAAGACUGCAGAUCAUAACAACAAUGGCUGCUGAUUUGGCAUCAAAGAGGUGGCAUUGUCAAAGCCAUAACUGCUGAAAAUGGCACCAACAUGCUGCAGCUGGAGAGAGUGGGUGACCAACAUUUGUUUGAAGAACAGAUGAUGCUCUUUGAAUGGCUCAGCCAACAGUCCAAAGUUUUAAGGGAAGACCUCUCUGCCAGCUUCUCUUGGACAAUGUCUCAUGUAAAACCUCCGAGGCACUUACAUAGCAUAUUUUUGUGUCCACUCUCUUGCUAGUCUGUUGUACCUGGAAUAAAAAAGCAGAGGGAGUGACACCCUCACUUGAAAUGGUCACUUCCCUUCAAUGUGGUGCAGAGAACAGGACUGAUGUGGGGAAUGCUGCUGCUGCUGCUUGUCAAACGUCUACGGCUGAUGGGUGAGUGGAAUAAAGGCUUUUCCCGGAGCAGAAGCACAUCAGACAUGGCUGUAAACCCCCAGCUGGGUGAACCCCUCAUGUGUAAACCCCAAACUGUUGAUUCUCCAUAACUAUCUGCUGUGGAAGAUUUAAUAAUGCAAAACUUCCUCCCUUUCUUUCUCCUGUCCUACAAUAUGGAUGCAGGGAGGACAGAGAAGAGACACACAAAGGUCAGUUUGUACUAGUUACAGGCCGUCCAGCACACAAACUCCAGAACAAGGGCUUGGGAAUCUGCCUACCGGGGUGUGCAUCAAUACAAUCCUCAGCAGCUGUUCUGCCCCUCUGUGCCCUGGCUUUUUUGAUUGCUUGCCAUGGGGAAAGUAUCUGCCUUGUGUGCUUGUGGGGAAACUAGAGAAGUCUGUAUGUAAAGCACAUGGAGCAGGCCAGGCAUCCAUUGAAGACUAUGCAGGUGUGUGCACUUACUCUCAUCAUUGUAAUGAGACCUGAUGCUAUGAGACUAUAAAUUAGAGAGAUUUAUAGUUACAAGAGGCACUAAAAAAAAAAUCACUUUUGGUAUGUCUAAAAUAUCUCGUAAAAAGUGUUAAAAUAAACAAAAGUUAAACCCAGUCAAUUAAAAA
RNAcentral lists this small RNA (1293 nucleotides) under Pongo abelii (Sumatran orangutan). RNAcentral's name for it is "processed transcript". Lineage: Eukaryota; Metazoa; Chordata; Mammalia; Primates; Hominidae. The record is from RNAcentral.